GCAUCUUUGGUAUUAUAAAAUCCAGCCAUAGCAAAGGAAUUUGGUACAAUAAUGCAUAUUAGGGAAGUACACACAAAAGAUAUGGCACAUAAUGGGAGUAAUGCCAUGUUUAGAUUCAACCUCUAAUUGGUGACUACUAAGCACUCUCUGAGAGUCUUGGUGCAGUGAAGGCAAUAGAUCAAGUGCCCCAUCCAUGGCCAAGUCCAUAUGCGUCCAUGUAUCCCGCUGCAUGAGCAUGACCGUGAUGGUGAUCAUGGCCACCAUGACCGUGAUGGUGAUCAUGGCCACCAUGACCAUGAUGAUGGUGAUGGUGAUGGUCACCGUCUUUUGCUUCAUCCAACAUUUUCUGGAUAUGCUCUGGUAUAGGUUCUUCUUCACCUUUCCUAAUUGAUUUUGGUAAAGAGGAUACAAACUUUACAAUAUUCUCAGCUAGCUUAUCUGCAGCAUCUUCCUGCGNNNGCCCACUGGAGUGAGAAACAAAUAUUGCAUGUGGAAGUGCCUCAGCUACCCUGCGCCCCUCCUCACUCCACUCGUUGGACCAACUGUUAGACCACAUCACCUGCAUUGGCAUUUCCUUUAUCCCGUCCAAACCACCCCAUUCUGCUAUACUAAAGCUAGAAUUCAACUUCUUUCCCGUAUCCACAACUGCUCUCCUCCCAUCCCUUCCUUUCAGAAUCACUCUAUGUGCCUCCAAAUCCAAACCACCAAUCCCCCUAGAACAACACAAGUGAAUCAAUCUCUCAUAUGCAAAAUUUGAUCCCAACACAAUCUCUCUAAUUACUGGCAUUUUCAAAACCCACAAAGGCAAAGCUGGUCUUGACCCAAUAUCUACAAGAGUGAUGCUUCUAACCAAAUUUGAGUUCUCCAAAACCCAAUUUGCCACCAUUCCUAAGCUUGAAUCAUGCAAAACCAAAUGCACAGGGGCUAACCCCAUUGUUUCAAUCACUUGUUCCAAAAUUCUGCCCAUUUCUUCACUGCCCAAUGCAAUAGGCUUAACCACACUCUUUAAUUUAUUAUAAUGAGCCACAAUUUCCUGAUGAGGAACCUCACCUGUUUCAACCAUGUUAUCAAAAACCCAAAACAGACCCUUCUCUUUAAUCAAACCAUACGCAUCCAAUAACCUCUCCAAAAUCCCAUUUCCUCUCUCCUCAGACACCUCUACUGACUUAUCAGAGAAUCCAUUCCCAGGCAAAUCAAACACAACUCCAUGAAUCUCUUUUGAGCCCAAAAAGUCAAUCACUUUCCUAAAAGAAAAAGAACUGAGACCCAAGCCAUGAAUAAUCAGUACCUUCUCAGUCACAUAACCCUUGCUCCUGCUUUCCACUGCGAAAAUCUCGGUAGGUGGUAGGUUCUGGGCUAGCUGGACUUUAAUGGUACGUCCUUUAGAGUAGUGUUGGCGCAGAGGGGUCGGAAGGGAAAGGAAAAAGGAUCUGGGGUCUGAAGAGGAAGAGGCAGAAGAGAGAAUGACAGUUGCGAGAGUGAUUAGAGAGACUGAAAGAGUGAAGUAAAACCAGAAAAUGAAUGGAUUAUUUCGUGCUUGUGUGUGGGGUUCUGGUUUGGGUUUUGGAUUUUUGGGCGGCAAAGUUGGUUCCUUUUUAACUUUUCGAGGCUGUGGCUCUGGUUCUUCAGUGAUUAUUGCCAUUGGAGCGGAGGAACUGCAAA
RNAcentral lists this unclassified non-coding RNA (1662 nucleotides) under Hevea brasiliensis (rubber tree). The record is from RNAcentral. Lineage: Eukaryota; Viridiplantae; Streptophyta; Magnoliopsida; Malpighiales; Euphorbiaceae.